Molecule: ribosomal RNA, 468 nt
Filed under: uncultured bacterium
Lineage: Bacteria
Description: partial 16S ribosomal RNA
Rfam family: Bacterial small subunit ribosomal RNA
Source: RNAcentral
GACGAACGCUGGCGGCGUGCUUAACACAUGCAAGUCGAACGGAAAGGCCCUGCUUUUGUGGGGUGCUCGAGUGGCGAACGGGUGAGUAACACGUGAGUAACCUGCCCUUGACUUUGGGAUAACUUCAGGAAACUGGGGCUAAUACCGGAUAGGAGCUCCUGCUGCAUGGUGGGGGUUGGAAAGUUUCGGCGGUUGGGGAUGGACUCGCGGCUUAUCAGCUUGUUGGUGGGGUAGUGGCUUACCAAGGCUUUGACGGGUAGCCGGCCUGAGAGGGUGACCGGCCACAUUGGGACUGAGAUACGGCCCAGACUCCUACGGGAGGCAGCAGUGGGGAAUAUUGAACAAUGGGCGGAAGCAUGAUGCAGCAAAGCAGCGUGCGGGAUGACGGCCUUCGGGUUGUAAACCGCUUUAGCCUGUGACGAAGCGUGAGUGACGGUAAUGGGUAAAGAAGCACCGGCUAACUACGUG